Long non-coding RNA from Ornithodoros turicata, 940 nucleotides. RefSeq lists it as uncharacterized. The record is from RefSeq and is a predicted model, not a curated record. The transcript is spliced from 2 exons. Lineage: Eukaryota; Metazoa; Arthropoda; Arachnida; Ixodida; Argasidae.
UUAUCGGCAGUUCAACGAUUGCCAUCGGAUUACUGCAUGUUACACCACAAGAGAGACAGACCGCUUUUGUUUGUGUGUGUCUAUGUAAACUAGCAAAGUUUCAGAAGCACUUCUGUAUAUGCGAAUCAUCACGUUCUUAUACAUACGCUUUACACGUUACAUACACUUUAGACCGUCUAGCUGGACAGACGUGACGUAUAGGAAACGUCAGCGCAGCGUGUGCUUACAUUAUUCCUCCCGUUUCUUGCAAUGUUCAGUAUACUUUCGGUCAUGCACUUAUAUGGAAGUUUUUACCGCACUGACGUCAAUAGCAUUCUUCAGUGUGUCUGUCCGCCGAGAGUCGCUUUAUAAGAAGCGAGCAUUCUCCGACCAAGCAUUCACGACCCGAACAACAUGAAGAUCGUCCUAUGUUUUGGCUUGGUCCUGCUUCUGCUUUCGUGCAAUGUCCUACAAGCCUUCUAUCUGCAGGACACCACAGCCACGAACGAAGAACCGGAACACCUCGGACGCAUAAAGUCCACGCCGCAGGACACGUCGUACCAGGGCAACGGACAUCAUUGGGCGCGAAUGGUUCUCACUGGACGUCAGCAAAAACGCGAAGCAUGUCGCAACCGGUUUUGUGCAAAUCUCUGUUCGGUCGCGCCAAACCUAGUUUACGGUGGGUGUGUUGAUCUUUGUGUGAAGCUGAAUGUUGACAUACCAUUAUGUCCAAAAGGGAAAUAACAGCGAUGACACUCUUAUCACCUGGAGAAAUUUGUGAUUGAGUGCAAUAAAAUUAGAGAAUGCAGUAAUAAGAGCAGGCCCCUGUAGCACAAUGUUCACCUAAAGACACGGAUAAAACCUUUUAGUGACAUGGAUCAGCUUGAAGCACCCAUUUGCCUGAAAAUCAUCCAGCGUGACAGCGCUCCUGUACUGCUCUCUAAUAAAAAUAUCAAGGUAA